Long non-coding RNA from Sycon ciliatum, 2250 nucleotides. RefSeq lists it as uncharacterized. Lineage: Eukaryota; Metazoa; Porifera; Calcarea; Leucosolenida; Sycettidae. The transcript is spliced from 2 exons. The record is from RefSeq and is a predicted model, not a curated record.
GACAAAUCCCAACGGUAUUUUAUAAUACGGAGCGAAUUAUUACAUUUUCACAUCAAAACCAUGACGAACCGAAUUUUUGUACUUGCUGACAAGCGCGUCAGACGCGUCCUCGAUCGCCUCGAAAAUAUUAUGGUGAGGAAAGAUAUUGAGAUGAGAAGAAAGGAAAAAAUUAUUUUGAGAGGAGAGAAAGCUAAAAGAGCUCAAACGAGAUGGAAGGCCGAGAAUUUCAGAUAGGCCAGCAAACAAGAUGCAGAGGAACACUAACUUUACUGCGAGGAUUUCCUCUUCCUGCUCACUGGACGGAGCGACUCGUGUUGUGGGAGAGUUGCAAUCAAAUGCGUCUGUGCAACAGACUUGAGGCUCUCCAAGGGAUUGCGGAUGGCCUCGUGGUGUCUCCUCAGCUCGUUGAAGCGGGCGUGAAUGCUCUCACUCCCUUGCUCUGCGAGGAGACCAAGACCAACGCCUCGCCGCCGGAUGGACGGCACGACAUGCACCUCCAACAUGUGCAAUUUCGGCGUGAUGUGGCCGAGCUUCUUGCUGACGACCCUAUCUCGGCAUGCAGCCAUAAAUGUUUCCACCAAGCCUUCUAGCUUGGAUAUGGUGGCCUCGUCCAUAGGCCUGCAGUGGCUGAAGAGAGCAGUGCACUCGCCAUACAGGGACAUAAGGCGCUGGUAAUCCUCAUGAAUUCGAUUUGCCUCUGGGAGCAGCAGUGGCGCACGAGAAGCUACUGCAGAUAAAUGUGCUGUGGUUAUUUCAGUUGUCACUGCUGGCUGAAGAGCUAUGUGCACAUGGUUGCCCACAAAAGCACCUCCAUGGUAUGCUUGCCUAUCGAUUCCAUUGCGCUGGAAAACUGGCUCGAUGCUUGCUCAACAUGGCCCCUCACACUUUUUGUUCUGUUUUAUUGCGGCCAUUUGGUCGGUGAGUGACUGUCUCCGCGCAAGCAAUGCAGUGCGGCGUGCAUCACCAUUCUUCCACUGGUCUUGUAGGUGUUGUGUCACGCUCUCCACUGUGGCAGCAUGUAUCAAGCUGAGAAAAGAGAACAAUGUACUGGACUUGCUGCUGCACUAAAUGUAGUUGUUGGGUAACUGCAGAAAUCUCCUCAUCCGUUUUGCUGGCUUCCGCAUGCAGUGACAAAAGCUUUUCAAAGCUUCCAGCAUCACCAGCUACUGCUGUAGCAGCAAUGGCUGCAAGGAUGACAGUGGCAGCAGGAACGCCUGCAGGAGCGACAAUGGCUGCAGGAACAGCUGCAGGGACGGCAGUGGCAGCAGGAACGGCUGCAGGGACGGCAGUGGCAGCAGGAACGACUGCAGGAACGGCUGCAGGGACGGCAGCAGGAACGACUGCAGGGACGGCUGCAGGAACGACUGCAGGGACGGCAGUGGCAGCAGGAACGACGGCAUGGACGGCAGUGGCAGCAGAAACAGCGGCGGUGUCUGCUGUAGUAGCAACGGCGGCAGGAACGGCGGUGUCUGCAGUAGCUGUUCUACUGGCAAGCUCAAUGUCGAGUGCUCUGAGCUCAGCCUGAAAAGCAGUCAGCAUCCAUGGGAAAAUACCCAGAUCCAGAUGAAGAGCCGGGAUUACAACAUUCUCCUCGGGAAUAGAUCUCUGACCUCGUCACGAUAGACUCCUGGCGCGGUUUCAAGGUUCGAUGGCGUGUCUUGUGCCUCGAAGAUGCAAAUCGGGAUAGUGUUGAGGAGUGAAUUCGGCCGCUGCACAUUCGCGAUCUGCAGGACGAACUUGAAAGAUCCUCCGCCGUGAUCACCACCGAGUUUGAUCCACAGUGGACGGACCAGUUCGCAAGCAGUUGACAGAACAGGUCGCUUGGCUUUGCCAGUUCUGAAGCACACAGGGUAUGAUGGCAGGCUGGACACUGCGCACCGUUGGUUAAUGUUUGGCAUAUGCAUUUCGUGCAAAAUACUCUAGAACAGCAUGGUGACGCUCGACGUGCUGCGGCAGAUCAUGCAUUGUACUGUGGCUGCUGCACUGCUGUAGGCAAAUCUUGACAUGGUCAAAUUGUACUCUGCUUCAUAAUCAGGUGCAGAUAUGUCAUGCACCUCACUUUCAGGUAUAUCCAUGCUAUUGCUAGAUGCACAUGCACUGCUACUGCUUGAUGUCAUUUUUGCCGCUCCGCUUGCUGUUUUUAUCUGUUUGCUUGGUCGGCCACCCUUCGAUUUUUCUUGAAACUUGGUGCAGACUCUGCAAUUCACAGGUUCAUGUCUUUUCCAACUAAUUGUUACCCCUUGUCCACAA